Molecule: ribosomal RNA, 698 nt
Filed under: Boletus smithii
Lineage: Eukaryota; Fungi; Basidiomycota; Agaricomycetes; Boletales; Boletaceae
Description: eukaryotic LSU rRNA
Rfam family: Eukaryotic large subunit ribosomal RNA (bases 88-698)
Source: RNAcentral
UUUAGCUACUAGUCGGUCGUAACUUUUACGGCUGGCGAACGCAGCAAGCAACGUUUCUGGGCUUGUCUUCUUUCUUUCUUCGAAACUUGACCUCAAAUCAGGUAGGACUACCCGCUGAACUUAAGCAUAUCAAUAAGCGGAGGAAAAGAAACUAACAAGGAUUCCCCUAGUAACUGCGAGUGAAGAGGGAAGAGCUCAAAUUUUGAAUCUGGCGGUCUUCGGCCGUCCGAGUUGUAAUCUAGAGAAGCGUCUUCCGCGCUGGUCCGUGUACAAGUCUCCUGGAAGGGAGCGUCAUAGAGGGUGAGAAUCCCGUCUUUGACACGGACUACCAGUGCUAUGUGAUGCGCUCUCGACGAGUCGAGUUGUUUGGGAAUGCAGCUCAAAAUGGGUGGUAAAUUCCAUCUAAAGCUAAAUACAGGCGAGAGACCGAUAGCGAACAAGUACCGUGAGGGAAAGAUGAAAAGAACUUUGGAAAGAGAGUUAAACAGUACGUGAAAUUGCUGAAAGGGAAACGCUUGAUGUCAGUCGCGUCGUCCGGGGAUCAACCUUGCUUCUCGCUGGGUGCAUUUCCUGGUCGACGGGUCAGCAUCAGUUUCCGUCGCCGUACAAUGGCAAGGGGAACGUGGCACUCUUCGGGGUGUGUUAUAGCCUCGCGUCGUAUGCGGUGGUAGGGACUGAGGAACUCGGCACGACUUCCG